Camelus dromedarius (Arabian camel) is the source of this 889-nucleotide long non-coding RNA. RefSeq lists it as uncharacterized. The record is from RefSeq and is a predicted model, not a curated record. Lineage: Eukaryota; Metazoa; Chordata; Mammalia; Artiodactyla; Camelidae. The transcript has 5 exons.
CCGCCCCCGCGCCGCGUGACCCGCGGCCCCCGGACACCCGACACCCCGAGGCCCGGGUCCCCGCCUCCUCGCCUCUCAGCGUCCAGGGACUUGCACCAGAUUAUGUGAGUGAACAAGCUGUGCAACCACCCGAGCUGGGUAGGGAUUCUGCAGACCUCUCCUCGAGUGAGUGGCCUGGGAUCUGAUGACAUCGCAGCGGGCCUCAGCCUCCCCAGCCCUCUCUCCGAGAAGGUGCUAGUUACAUGUGUCUGCUCUUUUUGUGGAAAUUCAUUAAACUGGACACUUACAUUUUUAUAAGUAUGCUAUACUUAUAUUUUUGGAAGUUUUGAAAAGUUGAGAAAAGGAAAAAAUAAGUGGUGCUGACUCUAAGGAUUCUGUGAGGAUUAAAUGAAUCAACACAUUGAACAGAAUAAUGCCAAAAAUUCAGAAUCAUAGUCAGGUCAUUUUAAUUUGGGCCACAAAGACUCGAUGACCACCCUAGAGCAGGAACAGACUCUACUGAUUAUCUAACCCAGUGGGUCUCUAUGUGUGUCUGCAUGCACGACAAUGGCUUGGGCACAGAUCUUCAGCCAAGUGCCUUCUCCUGGGAUGGCUUCUUCAGCAGUUUUGUUGAAGGCAAAAGUGGUGUGCCCAGACUGGCUGUUUACCCAGUCACCCGCAUGACUCCAAUAUAAGGAACAUGACUCUUUAUUUGAAGAUAUCUCUGAAGAAAAAAUACUUACAAACACUCAUGGAGGAAAUACAGAAGCAUCACAGUUUGAAGAAGAAAGAAAUGUUACAGCCCAUUUUAGGAUCAAACUAAAGCAAUGCUAAUCAAGGUCCAAGGAUUUGCUCUGUGGAUCAAUAUAAACCUUUCUUUUAAACACAACUUCUUCAAAAAAUGUAAGUA